GUAUGUAAAUAUUCAAAAAGCAAAAUUUAAAGAUGAAGCAAGCAGACAAGAAGAAGAAGAAGAAGAAGAAGAAGAAGAAGAAGAAGAAGGGGAAGAGGAAGAGGAAGAGGAAGAGGAAGAGGAAGAGGAAGAGGAAGAGGAAGAGGAAGAGGAAGAGGAAGAGGAAGAGGAAGAGGAAGAGGAAGAGGAAUGACAUAGAAAUGAUGAGAGAAGCACGAAGCACAUUAUGCAAACAAGUCCUCGUAAUUACUCAACAGACCUCAGUCUCCAGGUGCCCUCUUCUCACACAUUGUCUCACUGUUAUGAAAACAUCAGAAUUCAUGUGUCUUGGGUGUUGAAGCCAGAUAUGAAUAAUACUUUUGUCUAAAGUCACUUAACACUGAAGAGACACUGGAUUUUCAAAUCUCAUUUAAUUUUCUGUAAUGACUAAAGGGCAUUGUGGUACUUCGUGGCUUUCAUAGAAGUUAUGAUAUUUAAGAAAAUGAUUAAUUAAAACUGGGUUUGACAACAUUGAAGAGAAUCUCAGAACAAACAUGUUGCAAAGACCCUAACAAAUUUAAGUAAUUUUGGGAAAAGCAGAAAAAGAGGUGGAGUAAAAAGAGUAAAAAGGAUAACUGUUCACUGUUACUAACACAUAUUUUUUUGAUUUAGAACAAAAUUCUGAAAAUAAAAAAAAAAAAGGAAAACUCA
RNAcentral lists this long non-coding RNA (690 nucleotides) under Anser cygnoides (Swan goose). RNAcentral describes it as "lncRNA (ENSACDG00005003274.1)". Lineage: Eukaryota; Metazoa; Chordata; Aves; Anseriformes; Anatidae. The record is from RNAcentral.